This 440-nucleotide ribosomal RNA is filed under the name uncultured bacterium. RNAcentral describes it as "partial 16S ribosomal RNA". It matches the Rfam family "Bacterial small subunit ribosomal RNA", at positions 338 to 795 of the family's 1533-position model. The record is from RNAcentral.
CCUACGGGAGGCAGCAGUAGGGAAUUUUGCGCAAUGGGCGAAAGCCUGACGCAGCCACGCCGCGUGAACGAGACGCCCUUCGGGGUGUAAAGUUCUGUCAGUGGGGACGAAAACUGACGGUACCCACAGAGGAAGCACCGGCUAACUCCGUGCCAGCAGCCGCGGUAAUACGGAGGGUGCAAGCGUUGUCCGGAAUCAGUGGGCGUAAAGAGUUCGUAGGCGGCAUGUAAAGUCAGGUGUGAAAGGCGCAGGGUCAACCUGUGUAUUGCACUUGAGACUUGCAAGCUGGAAUGCGGUAGAGGGAAAGGGAAUUCCUGGUGUAGCGGUGAAAUGCGUAGAUAUCAGGAGGAACAUCGGUGGCGUAAGCGCUUUACCGGGCCGUAAUUGACGCUGAGGAACGAAAGCCAGGGUAGCAAAUAGGAUUAGAUACCCUUGUAGUC